CGGGCCUGUCGGUGAAAGAUCAGCCCAUGUCCUAUCAGCUUGUUGGUGGGGUAAUGGCCUACCAAGGCGACGACGGGUAGCCGGCGUGAGAGCGUGAUCGGCCACAUCGGGACUGAGACACUGCCCGGACACCUACGGGUGGCUGCAGCAACGAAUAUUCCGCAAUGGACGAAAGUCUGACGGAGCGACGCCGCGUGGGGGAUGAAGUCCUUCGGGAUGUAAACUCCAAUAGUUUGUCAGGAAGUGAACGAGGCUAAUACCCUCGUGAGUUGACCAGCAUACGAAAGGGGCGGCUAAUUCCGUGCCAGCAGCCGCGGUAAUACGGAAGCCCCAAGCGUUGUUCGGAAUCACUGGGCUUAAAGAGCGUGUAGGCGGGAUGGUAAGUACUUUGUGAAAGCCCCGGCUUCAAUCCGGGAAUUGCUUGGUAUACUGCUAUCCUUGAGGCAGGUAGGGGUGACUGGAACCUUAGGUGGAGCGGUGAAAUGCGAAGAUAUCUAAGGGAACACCUGUGGCGAAAGCGGGUCACUAGGCCUGUCCUGACGCUGAGACGCGAAAGCGUAGGGAGCGAACGGGAUUAGAUUACCCCGGUAGUCUAACGCCGUAAACGAUGCGCACUAGGUUCGAGAACCUCUGACGGUUUUCGUGCCGAAACUUAAACGAUAAGUGCGCCGCCUGGGGAGUACGACCGCAAGGCUAAAACUCAAAGGAAUUGACGGGGGCUCACACAAGCGGUGGAGCAUGUGGAUUAAUUCGAAGCAACGCGAAGAACCUUACAUGGGUUUGACAUGCAUGGAUGCCCUCUUGGAAACAGGAGUAAGCUGCCUUCGGGUGAAACAUGCACAGGUGCUGCAUGGCUGUCGUCAGCCCGUGCUGUGAAGUGUCGGGUUAAGUCCCUUAACGAGCGAAACCCUUGUCGCUAGUUGCCAGCGGUUCGGCCGGGAACUCUAGCGAGACUGCCGGCGUUAAGCCGGAGGAAGGUGGGGACGACGUCAAGUCAUCAUGGCCUUUAUGCCCAGGGUGUCACACGUGCUACAAUGGGGCGUACAGAGCGACGCAAGACCGUGAGGUGGAGCAAAUCGCACAAAGCGCUCCUCAGUUCGGAUUGGGGUCUGCAAUUCGACCCCAUGAAGUCGGAAUCGCUAGUAAUCGCGCAUCACCCAUGGCGCGGUGAAUGAGUUCCUGAGCAUUGUACACACCGCCCGUCAAGUCA
RNAcentral lists this ribosomal RNA (1210 nucleotides) under uncultured organism. Its description in RNAcentral is "bacterial SSU rRNA". It matches the Rfam family "Bacterial small subunit ribosomal RNA", at positions 208 to 1404 of the family's 1533-position model. The record is from RNAcentral.